GGACAACGCAGAUAUAGAACAUUUCUUUUAUCACAUGACUCCUGAGUUUUUUAGAAGUGUUUUUGCCCCAAGCCUGUGAGGAUAUCUUUUUUUAUUAUUGAUUUCUAUGUACAUUUAAUGGCAUUGUGGUCAUGGAAUGUGGACUGUAUGAAGACCUUGUUACUUAAUUAGUAGAAAGAUUAUAAUUCUUAGAAACCCAUACUGCAAUACUAGAAUAAAUUUUUUCCAAUUUUAAAUUCAAUGUGCUAGAAAAUCCCACAACAAUAUGCUUUAGGGUUUGUAAUUUAACCAAAUGAAUUUGCAGUACUCUCAUUACUUAGGUUUCUUCCUUUGAAUCUGAGAUCUUAAAGUUUAGCAGCUGCAUGAAGAGCAUGUCCACAAAAUUCUUUUCUUAGUUAAAAAAAAUAAAGUUAGAUUCUAAAAACUUACUGAGUUGUUGUUGUUUUAUUGCUGCUUUGUAAUUUGUUUGCUUUUGUUUUCUGGGUCAUGCAAUAAGCACUAGUGUAAAUCUGGUUCAAGUUUAUUGAUUUUAAAGAACAGAUAUUAAAAUCUUCAAUGUGAUUCAUAGUUUAUUCCAGAAUACAUUACAUCAAGAAUGAUGUUUUUUACCCUGUACAUUUCAAUACUUUAAACAUCGCAAUGAAUACUGUUUUUAUAGUGCUGUUUUUCAAAAUUUCUCACCUCCCUACCCUUUACUUCAUUUGGGGUCUGCAUUUUCUUUGUAUUUCCCCUUGCCCUUACUUUCUUCUUAUAAUACGUAUUACAUUUCUGUAGCAUUUAAACUUUUGAUGAAUACUUUCCCCUGGUACUAUUUCUUGGAUACUCACAGAAACCCUACAAAUUAAGUAAUGUCCAUCUUUUCCAGAUAGUGAAUCCAGUACUGAAAUGUUAAAUUAAUUGUUCAAUAUUCCUUAGCUAGUAAGUGGGAAGAGCCAGAAUUCAAA
This 944-nucleotide long non-coding RNA is filed under the name Homo sapiens (human). RNAcentral describes it as "HSALNT0306429". The record is from RNAcentral. Lineage: Eukaryota; Metazoa; Chordata; Mammalia; Primates; Hominidae.